AGGUGAAUCUGAGAUUUUAAGUACUCUGGCUGUAGUCUGUGCUCUCAACUACUUUACUAUACUGCCUCUCUAUCAGAUCUUGGAGGCAAGAUCCAUCUUCUUAAUCCGGACAGAGGCAUUGACAUCAUCUCUCUGCUCCUUCUCUUAACCAAUGAUUACGUUGUGCUAACGGCCACAUGAAUGAGACCAUCCUAGGUUAUUGGAUAGCCAUGGACUGAAUGGGUAACCUCAGAACAAUUAAGUUUUUGCCUCUACACACUGCACUUACACUUUGUAUGGCCCACUGUCUCACCUCUUUAAUCUGUAUUUACGUAAUUUACUAACCUGAGGCCACCAAUACACUCUUAGUAGCCUUGCUGGUGUUUGUCCAACCACAUCCUGAAAAAUUUUCUCUAUUUUACUUUAGAUACUGUAGGUACUCUCAGAAAGCAGUGGAACCUAUACAGCAUCUAGGGUCAUUAAGAAAUGAAUUGUAUAGGCCAGUUCCUCUCAAGGAUAUUAGAUGAGAUUAUCUGGUACAAUACUGAAGGUGGAUGGGAGAAAGUGGUGCGUGUCUUUAUUGAGGGCACAGAACCUUGAGAACAUUGCAGGUCCUUGCUGUGGACCUCAGUCAGUUGAGUCCCCCAUCAAUGCCAGUCUGAAUUUCAGGGAGUGGGAGGGUACAGCUGGGUCCGGAGAGAUGGGCAGACUUCCCCCCGCUUUCAUUCAUCCUGAUGUACUUAGGUCAGAGUGGCCAGGGAAUCCUGAAUUGAACAUCGUGGUCUCCUACACAUAGACUGGGAGCCUCCUCACUCUUCCUGAUUGUCCUGCAAGACAAUGUCUGUUUUAUUCAAAGAUCUGUAUACAUCUCCAGAAUGGGGAAUUAAGGUGGGAUUUUCAUGAAUUUAGAUUUUUAUUGGGAUAUAAUUUUCCUGCAGUGAAGUGCAGAUAUUCUAAGUGUGCAAGUUAUUCAAUUUUGACAAAUGCAUACACCUGUGUAACAUACACCUAUGACAGAUGCACUCUCCCUUAUCAAUACAUUGAACAUUCAGAUUCCUUUCCCAGACAAUCCUCAGCCCUUCCCCAUAGAAUGCAACCUGUGAUUUCUUUCAUCUUAGAUUAGUUUUGCCUGUUGUAGAACUUCAUCUAAAUGAAAUUAUAUAUGGGUUCUUUCAUUCACCAUAAUUUUUUUUUAAGAUUAUAACUCACGUUGUUGCAUAUAUCAGUCAUUUGCCCAUCUCAUUGCUGAGUAGUAUUCCAUUGUGUGACUGCACCACAGCUGGUUGAUAGACACAGGGAUUAUUUCCAGCAUUUAGCUCUAUAAACCAAGCUGCUAUAAACAACCCUGUACAAGACCUUUGUGGACAUAUAUUUUCAUUUCUCUGAGUCAUAUACAGCAGUUGUUUUUGAAGGGUAAAUAGGAGUUGUAAAACGUGAAAGGGGUUAGGUUUUACAGGACAGGAAGAUGGUUUUAGCCAGCGUACAGAGGUGUCAUCUUAAGUUCAUGACAAAAACAGGGCUAAUCAUAGAGUAGGCGGUGGGAUUGCCUGGAUGUGGCUGAGUGCCCAUCCUGGAUAUGCUGACUUGAGUAAGCUCUUACUCUUGCUACUUAUUUCAUUAAUGACCUUAAAUCCCACCGGCAUUCUAGUUGCCCUGGGAAGACCACUGUGAUUAUCUUUAUUGUGCUGUCCCGCUGAAAGAACCAUGCUCAGAAUGGUGCCUGAUCUUGACAGACUCCUACUAAUGUAAUUAUGCCUUACUCUGGGACACACCCCUCCAGAGUUUGGGAUUUCUCUUAUUUCUGCCUGUAAAUGACAUGAGAUGGUACCCCUGCAUGACUGCUCAGACUAACUCCCAAGGAAGAUAUGGCUUUGCCAUUAUUUGUCAGUGUGACCUGUCUUGAUCUCUUUAGAGGGCAUUUGGAGGCUGCUACAAGAAGGAGCACUGUCCCAUGAGUUGAUAGUUGUGGUGGGAACAAAGAAAGGGCCAUCCCUCAGACUUCCUGGAGCCCUGGGCAGCCUGCACAUACUGCAAAGUGCACUGGAGAUGCAGUAGCCGAUGAAAUAAGAUGGAACUUGUGUUUUGGUGAUGAGAAAUGUAUGCUUAUUUUAAAGACUUUGGGUGCUCACUAUCAGGUGGUGUUUUGGAAAGCUAAACUAGUUAUUCUCCCAUUGGCAGCAAAUAGGGGAUGCUUGCUUUCAGCCGAACCUUGCUAACUCUGAGUGAUGUUUGCUGGUCACUUCAUACAGAGAUUACGCUAACCCUCACUUUGUGUGUUUUCAGUGAUUCUGUUUGUUUUGUUUUGUUGUGACUGGGCGGCUGGAUGAAAUUUUUCAUUAUCUCCCUUUCCCAGUGCUAGGGGAUCCCUACUCUCUCUAGGGUGUUAGGGAUGCUUUAUAGAUUUCAGAUUUACUUCCAAAGUCACUUGAUGUCAUGUCUUCCUCCUUAGCCACUCAUGAUUCUGCUCUGGUUGUAUUUUGCAGGAGCUCAGCCUUGGUAAUAGUUGUUGGAGCUGGAGGUCCUGAACAGUCCUAAAGCGUCCAAAUCUCAGUUCUCAAAGAACAAGUUCUGAGUAUCACUCUAUGGACUAACCCUCUGCUCUUUAGGGAAUUACUCAUGAUGCCAUAAAAAAAAUAACAGAAUCAGAGAUAGAGGUUAGCUUUCCUCUCCAAAACUGGGAAGAAAGUGUUCAAAAUUAGGGAUUUAGGGUGCACUCAAAAAUGUCUGAUUGGUAGUGAGAGCCUGUGUGUUAGUUCCCUAUGGAUGCUGUAACACAGUACCAUGACCUGAAUGACUUAAGAUAACAGACUGGCAUUGUCUUAUAAUUCUGGAGACAGAAGUCCAAAAUCAAGGUGUCCACAGGGCCAUAUACACUGUAAAACCCAUAGGGGAAUCCUUUUAUGCCUCUUCCUACCUGCUGAGCUUUGUCUACAGUCGUUGGUAUGUAGAUGCAUAACUCCAAUCUCUGCCUUUACCACCACAUGCUUUUAUCCUUGUGUUCCUCUGUCUCCACAUGGCUAUCCCCUUAUAAGGGGACCUGUUCUAUUAUAUUUAGUUAUGAUAUGACCUCAUCUGAACUGAAGAUCUGUAGUGACUCUAUUUUCAAAUAAGGUGACAUUUGGUUUGAGGUCCUGGCAGUAAGGACUUGAGCAUAUCUUUUUUUAGAAGGAUACCAUUUAACCCAGAGUGUUGAUACUUUGAGAAUGAUACAAACCACACCCGAGAAUAGGCAACUUCCUAGGCAGUCUUUACAAGCAAGAAUGCUGACACUGUAGGGAUAAUUCCUAGGAAGAAAAGGGAAUAUUCCAUGUUAAGGGAGACAGACUUGGUAGCUCUGGAGAAAUCAUGUACCUGAAAUUAAUUCCUGACAAUCAACCAUGAAUCUGUUAUCAUUUUUUGUUCUAAACACUUGCUUCUAAUUAUGCCCCUUUGAUGUUUGCACCUUUCAAAUAUCUUGAAACUGAGUUCAUUUCCAUUUCUCACACUUUCAACAUUGUUAACACAAGCUGAACAGACUUUCGUUCUUCCAGGUCUUUUUGGUUAGUCAGAUCCUACAGAAGCUUAAUAAUUGCAAGUUGCUCUUUUCUUCAGUCUUCUUUUCAGCUGGCAGCUUUCCUAGCACUAAAAAUCACACCUUGUACCUCACAGAGCGGGAACAAAGAUGUGGCCACCUAUGUGGUUUGUGAAGGAACUUCUGACACAUUUAAUUUCAUCUGGAAGCUGGGUGUCUGUGUCAGUGACUUUGUUCAAAAUGGCUCCAGGGAAACCUGAGUUUUGUCUUUAUAGCUGCUUUUCCUUGUAUUGUACACUUUGUUUUUCCAUUUCUUUCACAAAACACAACAUGGAAAGAAGCCCACGGUUUUUGCACCUUUUAUAUAAGCUUUUUGGUGAUUAAAACCCUAGGGUGUUGAGUUAGCGUAAAUGUUAAAAAUGUGUACCUAGAGUACAGUAAGAGCUUUCUCGCUAUGCAUUUUUCAAAAGAGUAGUGAAUAAUGCUGGAUUGAAAACUCUGGGAAGCUAGGGCCCUCUGAUUAUAGCCCAUGUGGUGAUAUUGUACAUUUUCCCAAACCUUGCUGCAUUAAUGCCUUCACAUCAUUUCUGAGAAAGAGAAGAAUACUCAGCUCUCCUACAGGCCUCAGGAAUAAUGGGAGUUUAGUGAACAGUACCUAUUAAAAUAUGAAUAUAUAUUAAGCAUCUCUUUUUAUUCUGAUGCUUUGACAUCUUGAGGUCUCCCUGACACUGAAAGAGACUUACCCUCCCAAAGUCAGAUAAUUCUGAGAGCUAGCAAAUGCCUUGCCUACCACAAGUGUCUUUCAUAUGCAAACUGACCAAUCUAGAGUCUAUACCUCUGCUAUCUUUCUCUCACCCUGGCACCCAUCAUUCCUGGCCCUAAGCACCCUAGGGCUAGUUAUCUGAUAACUCAGGGUGGCCCUACAUGCUGGGUGGAGCAUGCUGAAAUUAUUCAGAUUAGCCAAUCCUAAACCUACUUAACUUGCUUACCCUACCUUGCCCAUUUCUUUGUACAGAAAACCACAAUAGAAGCUCUUCCUCAUAUUUUCCCCUUACUAUCUCUGCCUCUUGAACAAUGCUGGGGCUUCACUGUAUGGCCAUGUAUGACAUGCUGAACCUCCUGUUUCUAGGGAUCUCUGUGUAUAAAACUUCUUCCUUCCAUUGAGUAUCUCUGUGUGUUUCCAUCCCUGAUUAGAACAAACCCCAAGUACAUCUGAAAAGAGAGCAUGUAAAGAUUCAUUCAAAAUUCACUCCAAUUACUCUGAAGUGUCUUUCAUUGCUUGUAGCCAACUCAACAACCAAGUCAAGGAUGGCUUUGACUAGGCUUCCUCAAGAGGAGACAUUGCUGGGCAUUCCUAUUAUGGCUGAGUGGUAACUAACCCAACUAGUGUCCAUGAGGAUGAGGGUUUGAUCCCUGGCCUCAUUUAGUGGGUUAAGGAUCUGGUGUUGCCAUGAGCUGUGAUAUAAUUCGUAGACCCGGCUCAGAUCCCAUGUUGCUGUGGCUGUGGUAUAGGCUGUAGCUCCAAUUUGACCCUUAGCCUGGGAACCUCCAUAUGUCACAAGUGGGCCC
RNAcentral lists this long non-coding RNA (5059 nucleotides) under Sus scrofa (pig). RNAcentral's name for it is "lncRNA (ENSSSCG00000063015.1)". The record is from RNAcentral. Lineage: Eukaryota; Metazoa; Chordata; Mammalia; Artiodactyla; Suidae.